UGUUGAUUUCAGAGGGCUCUCUGCCGAGUGAUUGAUUGACUGGUAAAGAACUGAGGCUUCCAGCAAACUCUGAGCUGUGAAAAGGAGACAUCACCAAUUUUUAACCCUUGUCUGUUCGGCUCCAGCUAUGAGGCCCUGCAUUCAGGCUCCAUCUCCCAGCCGUGCCCAGCGGUCACUUUAGGAUGGCAGCAUCACGCUGGGUUGUUAAUGAUCAACUGCAGCAAGCACAGCAAAUCAUCAGUGAUGCAAACAGAAUCACAGUCCUAGGUCCUCCAGGCUAUUUAGAGAGACUCGAGGCUUCAGAGAGAAGUGGAAGAGGACAUGCUGAAUGAAAGGGUAGAGGAAAUGUGGCCUAGUGGCUAGGCCCUGGCCUGAAAUGCAAGAAACCUGGCUCCAGUUCCCAACUCAGCCAUCCACUUCCUCUGUGACCUUGGGCAAAUAAAU
Pelodiscus sinensis (Chinese soft-shelled turtle) is the source of this 444-nucleotide long non-coding RNA. RefSeq lists it as uncharacterized. The record is from RefSeq and is a predicted model, not a curated record. Lineage: Eukaryota; Metazoa; Chordata; Testudines; Trionychidae.